GGGAGGGGGUGACCAGUGACAGAGUGAGGGGGUGACUAGUGGCAGAGUGAGGGAAGGAAGGGGUGACUAGUGACAGAGUGAGGGAGGUGGUGACUGUCACUAGUCACCACCUCCCUCACUCUGUCACUAGUCACCACCUCCCUCACUCUGUCACUACUCCCCCCUCCUUCUGUCACUAGUCACCCCCUCCGUCCCUUACUCUGUCACUAGUCACCCCCUCCCUCACUCGGUCACCAGUCACCCCCUCACUCUGUCACUAGUCACCCCCUCACUC
Pelobates cultripes (western spadefoot toad) is the source of this 274-nucleotide non-coding RNA. Lineage: Eukaryota; Metazoa; Chordata; Amphibia; Anura; Pelobatidae. The record is from the annotation of a GenBank genome assembly.